UACGGAGGGUGCGAGCGUUGUCCGGAAUUACUGGGCGUAAAGCGUGCGCAGGCGGUUGUGCAAGACCGAUGUGAAAUCCCCGGGCUUAACCUGGGAAUGGCAUUGGUGACUGCACGGCUAGAGUGUGUCAGAGGGGGGUAGAAUUCCACGUGUAGCAGUGAAAUGCGUAGAUAUGUGGAGGAACACCGAUGGCGAAGGCAAUCCCCUGGGCCUGCACUGACGCUCAUGCACGAAAGCGUGGGGAGCAAACAGG
RNAcentral lists this ribosomal RNA (253 nucleotides) under uncultured bacterium. RNAcentral describes it as "partial 16S ribosomal RNA". It matches the Rfam family "Bacterial small subunit ribosomal RNA", at positions 524 to 776 of the family's 1533-position model. The record is from RNAcentral.